CCACUUUGAUUCAUCAAACAUAAAAUUUCAUAGUCAUUCAAGUGCAUUCUUACUAUAUUGUCUCAUACCAAACCCAUACACCAUCACACAACAUCAACCAUGUCAUAAAACAACUCAUACAUUACAUACUUUCACAAAACCAUCACUUUUUAACACAAAUUUCUUCAUGACUUUUAAUUAUCAAUAGUUAAGUAAUUCAAACAGCUUGGAGACCCUCACCAAUGGCUCCGGAAGGGUCAAAAACCCCCAGAACGACCAAAAGAACGUCCAAAACGGACAUCCGAAACCCCACAAACUAUCAAAAACAAAAGCAAAAGCAGAAAAGGGCACCCCACGCCCUUUAGGGGAGCCCGGGCGCCAUAUUUCUGGCAAACGUCGAAUCAAAGGGCGCCCAACGCCCUUUUGGGGCGCCCAGGCAUGGAUUCUGCAGAAUUUUCUGCACAUUUUGUAGAUUUGGAAGAACUCACACCCCUAAG
RNAcentral lists this long non-coding RNA (476 nucleotides) under Vigna radiata. RNAcentral describes it as "long non-coding RNA (VRAD_LNC015940)". The record is from RNAcentral. Lineage: Eukaryota; Viridiplantae; Streptophyta; Magnoliopsida; Fabales; Fabaceae.